Molecule: ribosomal RNA, 605 nt
Filed under: Herminiimonas sp. Ri1Ps_4570
Lineage: Bacteria; Pseudomonadati; Pseudomonadota; Betaproteobacteria; Burkholderiales; Oxalobacteraceae
Description: bacterial SSU rRNA
Rfam family: Bacterial small subunit ribosomal RNA
Source: RNAcentral
AGUGAAGAAAGCCUUCGGGUUGUAAAGCUCUUUAGGAAUCUACGGUGAUCUCUAAUAUAGGUCACUAAUGACGGUACCUGAAGAAUAAGCACCGGCUAACUACGUGCCAGCAGCCGCGGUAAUACGUAGGGUGCAAGCGUUAAUCGGAAUUACUGGGCGUAAAGCGUGCGCAGGCGGUUAUGUAAGUCAGAUGUGAAAUCCCCGGGCUCAACCUGGGAAUGGCAUUUGAGACUGCAUGGCUAGAGUGUGUCAGAGGGGGGUAGAAUUCCACGUGUAGCAGUGAAAUGCGUAGAGAUGUGGAGGAAUACCGAUGGCGAAGGCAGCCCCCUGGGAUAACACUGACGCUCAUGCACGAAAGCGUGGGGAGCAAACAGGAUUAGAUACCCUGGUAGUCCACGCCCUAAACGAUGUCUACUAGUUGUCGGGACUUAAUUGUCUUGGUAACGCAGCUAACGCGUGAAGUAGACCGCCUGGGGAGUACGGUCGCAAGAUUAAAACUCAAAGGAAUUGACGGGGACCCGCACAAGCGGUGGAUGAUGUGGAUUAAUUCGAUGCAACGCGAAAAACCUUACCUACCCUUGACAUGGUUGGAAUCUUUGAGAGAU